AACACAUGCAAGUCGAGCGGAUGAAGGGAGCUUGCUCCUGGAUUCAGCGGCGGACGGGUGAGUAAUGCCUAGGAAUCUGCCUGGUAGUGGGGGACAACGUUUCGAAAGGAACGCUAAUACCGCAUACGUCCUACGGGAGAAAGCAGGGGACCUUCGGGCCUUGCGCUAUCAGAUGAGCCUAGGUCGGAUUAGCUAGUUGGUGAGGUAAUGGCUCACCAAGGCGACGAUCCGUAACUGGUCUGAGAGGAUGAUCAGUCACACUGGAACUGAGACACGGUCCAGACUCCUACGGGAGGCAGCAGUGGGGAAUAUUGGACAAUGGGCGAAAGCCUGAUCCAGCCAUGCCGCGUGUGUGAAGAAGGUCUUCGGAUUGUAAAGCACUUUAAGUUGGGAGGAANGGUUGUAAAUUAAUACUCUGCAAUUUUGACGUUACCGACAGAAUAAGCACCGGCUAACUCUGUGCCANCAGCCGCGGUAAUACAGAGGGUGCAAGCGUUAAUCGGAAUUACUGGGCGUAAA
RNAcentral lists this ribosomal RNA (519 nucleotides) under uncultured bacterium. RNAcentral's name for it is "bacterial SSU rRNA". It matches the Rfam family "Bacterial small subunit ribosomal RNA", at positions 50 to 564 of the family's 1533-position model. The record is from RNAcentral.